This 2253-nucleotide unclassified non-coding RNA is filed under the name uncultured fungus. Its description in RNAcentral is "sequence contains 18S rRNA gene, ITS1, 5.8S rRNA gene, ITS2, 28S rRNA gene". The stretch from base 898 to 2253 matches the Rfam family "Eukaryotic large subunit ribosomal RNA", at positions 1 to 961 of the family's 3401-position model. Lineage: Eukaryota; Fungi. The record is from RNAcentral.
CGAUGGAUCAUUACGUUUUGUUGUAUGCGACGUAUGCGCGCAUACAACUCAAUGCAACCCAAGCACUAGUUUAUGUUCUCAUACAACAUCAACACCCCCUAUUAAUAACUUCCCACACAUGUUGGGACCAUACUCAUUAUGAUCAGAGUACUAACCAUCUUCACUUUUAAUUAAGUGAAUUCACAUUAAACAUACAUGAGUUUAAAAAAGCUAGUUGAGCGAUGGAUCUCACGGCUCCUUGCAUCUUUGAAGGUCGCAGCGAAUUGCGAAAUGAAGGUCGUGUGAAUUGCAAGACACACUGGCCCCUUUUCGGGCUGCGGAACACCUUACUUAUUGAACGAAGUCGUCACUCGUAGUCUGCCGCGCAGUUCCUCGGAACGGUGUUGGCUACUGCAGUGCACUUGGUUGAGAACGUGUUGUAUAAUAACAACUUUAGUAUUGAUUAUAUAUCAAUGCCUUGAAUCGAGUCCUACUCUUUUCAUCCAAUAUAUAACAGUAUGAACGCAUGGGGACUAUCCCCUGCUGUCACAAACAGUGUAUAAGUGUAACACUAAUAACAGUUGUUGUUGUGUUGUAUGCUGUGUUGUUGCAUUGACGUGGCCAGGUGCAGGCUGCGCUAGUAAUAACUAUGCAUUAUACAUACUUUACAUAUAUAUGUAUAUUUAUAUAUAUCUACCCAACUAUCCAUCUUAGUAUGAUGCUUUAUGCAAAUAUCGCAUUUGAAAAUGAUAGUGUGUUGAGUUAACUUAUGUAUAUAUAUAUAUAUUGUGUAUCUGUGUGUGUUAAGCUAUAAUUGUGAUCGUGCGGCUAGCUAACAAAAACCAAGCUGCUGAGCAACACACGCACACACACACACACACUCAACUAAUUGGUGAUACCAUCACGCAUAUUGAUCAAUACGUCUCAGCCAAGUGAGACAACGCGCUGAAUUUAAGCAUAUUAUUAAGCGCAGUGUAAAAAAAGAAACUAACAAGGAUUCCCUUAGUAGUGGCGAACGAACAGGGAUACACAAUAUACGAGUGCUCUCUUUAAACAUUCUUCGGAAUGCGAGAGGGCCUGCUCGUGAUAGCCCGCCCCCUAAUCCAAGUCUCUUUUUAAGAGCUGUUAGUGUGACUGUAGCCUUCGGGUUAUGGUCAUAUCUGGUGGCACCUUAUUAAGGACGGAAUUGUAGCGUAUGACAUUGAAUUGACAUAUUAUUGAUUGUGGUAGAAAACAAUCAAUAAAUCAUCUAGAAAACACUCUCUUAUAGUUGCAUAUUAAUCAAGUUAAAGUCCUGUGUGUCAUGCACACUGGAAUGUAACACGUGUUUAUCACCGCUAUAAAGCGUGACAGCCGCGUUUGAGAUUUAUGUGCACAGAGAUGUGUAGUGCAUACAGCAAGUAUUGCACUGUCAUUCUUGUCGCUGAGUCGGUCUGAUUGGGACUUCAGACUUAAUAGUUCAGGUGGUAAUGACACAUCAAAGGCUAAAUAUUUGUAGUUAGUUUCUACACAUGCAAUGGAGACCGAUAGCACACAAGUACCGUCAGGGAAAGAUGAAAAGCACCCUUCCAGCACGUGAUCUCUUUAUUGAGUUCACACGCUCCACAGGGAGUGAAAAGAGAGUGAAAUCGCCUAAUAGCAACUCUUGCUGACUUGUGAACAGCAUAAACACAGUACUUUUUGCAUACAGCGAAGUACAAUCGGACAGAAGUGUCUUGGAAUGCGCGGACUAUUAAGUGAAUAAUUGUACAUGGUCGGUCACUCUAGCGUUAAUCGCUUGGUGUUACACCAUCCACAUUAACAAUGCUACUGACCAUUAACGACUUGUACAUAACUUAAUACGUUUAACUGCAAUGUGUUGUGCUACUUUUGUAGCCAAACGAAAUAGACACCAACUGUUCGACCCGUCUUGAAACACGGACCAAGGAGUUCAACUCAAGUGCGAGUCGUAGCAUUCUCUUUUUAAGAAAUGCACUCGGCGAAGCGAAAGCAACUUAAAGCGAGGGAUACACUCUUUUAAAUAAGAGCGUUGCACCUCUGGCCGACAUGGUAUAUGCUUGUUUGGCAACGAAUAAGUAUACACACGGAAAAUGUCGAGCAAUAGAGCAGUUGAUGUUGAGACCCGAAAGAUGGUGAACUAUGCUCGGGCAUGGUGAAGCCAGGAGAAAUCUUGGUGGAAGCUUGCGUUGUGAGGUACUGACGUGCAAAUCGUAACCUCCUGAUCCGAGUAUAGGGGCGAAAGACUCAUCGAACCAUCUAGUAGCUGGUUCCCUC